RNAcentral lists this ribosomal RNA (421 nucleotides) under uncultured bacterium. RNAcentral's name for it is "partial 16S ribosomal RNA". It matches the Rfam family "Bacterial small subunit ribosomal RNA", at positions 360 to 773 of the family's 1533-position model. The record is from RNAcentral.
AAUAUUGGACAAUGUGCGAAAGCCUGAUCCAGCCAUGCCGCGUGUUUGAAGAAGGUCUUCGGAUUGUAAAGCACUUUAAGUUGGGAGGAAGGGCUUUAGGUUAAUACCCAGAAUUUUUGACGUUACCAAUUGAUUAAGUACCGGCUAACUCUGUGUCAGCAUCCGCGGUAAUACAGAGGGUGCAAGCGUUAAUCGGAAUUACUGGGCGUAAAGCGCGCGUAGGUGGUUCAGUAAGAUGGGUGUGAAAUCCCCGGGCUUAACCUGGGAACUGCUUUCAUAACUGCUGGGCUAGAGUACGGUAGAGGGUAGUGGAAUUUCCUGUGUAGCGGUGAAAUGCGUAGAUAUAGGAAGGAACACCAGUGGCGAAGGCGACUACCUGGACUGAUACUGACACUGAGGUGCGAAAGCGUGGGGAGCAAAC